This 497-nucleotide ribosomal RNA is filed under the name uncultured bacterium. RNAcentral describes it as "partial 16S ribosomal RNA". It matches the Rfam family "Bacterial small subunit ribosomal RNA", at positions 28 to 507 of the family's 1533-position model. The record is from RNAcentral.
GACGAACGCUGGCGGCGUGCCUAAUACAUGCAAGUAGAACGCUGAAGCGAGGAGCUUACUCUUCUUGGAUGAGUUGCGAACGGGUGAGUAACGCGUAGGUAACCUGCCUUGUGGCGGGGGAUAACUAUUGGAAACGAUAGCUAAUACCGCAUAACAAUGGAUGACACAUGUCAUUUAUUUGAAAGGGGCAAUUGCUCCACUACAAGAUGGACCUGCGUUGUAUUAGCUAGUAGGUGAGGUAAUGGCUCACCUAGGCGACGAUACAUAGCCGACCUGAGAGGGUGGUCGGCCACACUGGGACUGAGACACGGCCCAGACUCCUACGGGAGGCAGCAGUAGGGAAUCUUCGGCAAUGGGGGCAACCCUGACCGAGCAACGCCGCGUGAGUGAAGAAGGUUUUCGGAUCGUAAAGCUCUGUUGUAAGUCAAGAACGGGUGUGAGAGUGGAAAGUUCACACUGUGACGGUAGCUUACCAGAAAGGGACGGCUAACUACGUG